CACUAUGAACAUUACUACAAUUAUACAUGGGAUCCAUUUUCGAAAUACUUCUAAGUACUAGUACUCAAUCAGAUGAAUGAGAAGCUGUACAAUUACUCAAUAAAAUGUAGAUUAGACUGGAACCAUAUUCUGAUAUGUUUGCAAAGCUGUGCCCUCACUCAAACAGAUGCAUAUGAGACAAGCUUGGGAUCUCUAGCAGAUGUAUGAGUAAGCUCCACCCUAAGCCAUACAGACACAUAUGAUGUAUCCCUUCUUAAUCACAUGUAUGAGAAGGUGUAUUCUUACUCAAGAGCUUAAUAGCGAACCAAUGGGUACAUUCUUAUAGCAAAGCAUUAAGUCCAAUUUUAUAGCAGAACACUAGGUAC
Molecule: long non-coding RNA, 365 nt
Filed under: Mytilus galloprovincialis (Mediterranean mussel)
Lineage: Eukaryota; Metazoa; Mollusca; Bivalvia; Mytilida; Mytilidae
Source: RNAcentral